This 550-nucleotide ribosomal RNA is filed under the name fungal sp. P3S1. RNAcentral describes it as "eukaryotic LSU rRNA". The stretch from base 202 to 355 matches the Rfam family "5.8S ribosomal RNA". The record is from RNAcentral. Lineage: Eukaryota; Fungi.
CGGAGGACAUUACAGAGUUGCAAAACUCCAACAAACCAUCGCGAAUCUUACCCGUACGGUUGCCUCGGCGCUGGCGGUCCGGAAGGCUCUCGGGCCCCCCGGAUCCUCGGGUCUCCCGCUCGCGGGAGGCUGCCCGCCGGAGUGCCGAAACCAAACUCUUGAUAUUUUAUGUCUCUCUGAGUAAACUUUUAAAUAAGUCAAAACUUUCAACAACGGAUCUCUUGGUUCUGGCAUCGAUGAAGAACGCAGCGAAAUGCGAUAAGUAAUGUGAAUUGCAGAAUUCAGUGAAUCAUCGAAUCUUUGAACGCACAUUGCGCUCGCCAGUAUUCUGGCGAGCAUGCCUGUUCGAGCGUCAUUUCAACCAUCAAGCUCUGCUUGCGUUGGGGAUCCGCGUCUGACGCGGUCCCUCAAAAACAGUGGCGGGCUCGCUAGUCACACCGAGCGUAGUAACUCUACAUCGCUAUGGUCGUGCGGCGGGUUCUUGCCGUAAAACCCCCAAUUUCUAAGGUUGACCUCGGAUCAGGUAGGAAUACCCGCUGAACUUAAGCAU